GAUCAACGCUGGCGGCGCACAUAAGACAUGCAAGUUGAACGGACUUAAUCGAAAUAUUUAUAUUUUGAAGCGGGGAGUGGCAGACUGGUGAGUAACGCGUAAGGAACCUGCCUAUUAGAGGGGAAUAACAGGGAGAAACCAUUGCUAAUACCGUAUAUGCCAUAGAUAUCACAUGAUAACAUUGGGAAAGGAGCAAUCCGCUAAUAGAUGGCCUUGCGUCUGCUUAGAUAGUUGGUGGGGUAACGGCCUACCAAGUCGACGAUCAGUAGCCGGACUGAGAGGUUGACCGGCCACAUUGGGAGUGAGAUACGGCCCAGACUCCUACGGGAGGCAGCAGUCGGGAAUAGUGCGCAAUGGAGGAAACUCUGACGCAGUGACGCCGCGUAUAGGAAGAAGGUUUUCGGAUUGUAAACUAUUGUCGUUAGGGAAGAGAAAGGACAGUACCUAAGGAGGAAGCUCCGGCUAACUACGUG
This 473-nucleotide ribosomal RNA is filed under the name uncultured bacterium. RNAcentral's name for it is "partial 16S ribosomal RNA". It matches the Rfam family "Bacterial small subunit ribosomal RNA", at positions 28 to 507 of the family's 1533-position model. The record is from RNAcentral.